ACGAACGCUGGCGGCAUGCCUAACACCUGCCAGUCGAACGCGACCUUCGGGUCUAGUGGCGCACGGGUGCGUAACGCGUGGGAACCUGCCCUUAGGUUCGGAAUAACUCCCCGAAAGGGGUGCUAAUACCGGAUAAUGUCUUCGGACCAAAGAUUUAUCGCCUUUGGAUGGGCCCGCGUUGGAUUAGCUAGUUGGUAGGGUAAAAGCCUACCAAGGCGACGAUCCAUAGCUGGUCUGAGAGGAUGAUCAGCCACACUGGGACUGAGACACGGCCCAGACUCCUACGGGAGGCAGCAGUGGGGAAUAUUGGACAAUGGGCGAAAGCCUGAUCCAGCAAUGCCGCGUGAGUGAUGAAGGCCUUAGGGUUGUAAAGCUCUUUUACCCGGGAUGAUAAUGACAGUACCGGGAGAAUAAGCUCCGGCUAACUCCGUG
RNAcentral lists this ribosomal RNA (432 nucleotides) under uncultured bacterium. RNAcentral describes it as "partial 16S ribosomal RNA". It matches the Rfam family "Bacterial small subunit ribosomal RNA", at positions 29 to 507 of the family's 1533-position model. The record is from RNAcentral.